RNAcentral lists this long non-coding RNA (242 nucleotides) under Malus domestica (apple). RNAcentral describes it as "long non-coding RNA (MDOM_LNC015972)". The record is from RNAcentral. Lineage: Eukaryota; Viridiplantae; Streptophyta; Magnoliopsida; Rosales; Rosaceae.
GAUAAAGACCAAGGCCUCCGUUCUUCAUGAGUUAUUGGUACCGAUUGUAGAUUUUUGUUAUUAAAUUUUUAAUAAAGUAGUGAUAAUUAAUAAAUUUUAACUUCAUUAAUAUUUUUCCUAUUUGCAGCAUCACUAUGAUCUCUAGGAUCUCGAUGUGAAUCAAUCCAAGUACAUACAAGAGUUUUUCACAGGUCGAUUCACUCAAUGGAAGAGCGACCUCCAAAAGCAUUUCGAGACAUAGG